Pseudopipra pipra is the source of this 821-nucleotide long non-coding RNA. RefSeq lists it as uncharacterized. Lineage: Eukaryota; Metazoa; Chordata; Aves; Passeriformes; Pipridae. The transcript has 2 exons. The record is from RefSeq and is a predicted model, not a curated record.
AAAGCUGGGAGUGCGGUCCCUCUGCUUUGCUUGCUGUGUCUCUUGGGUAGUGAUUUUGGAGGGGAAUCCCAGAGCGAUUUGGUUUGAAGGGGACCUUCAAAGGCCACCCUGCCUUCCGUGGGCAGGGACACCUUCCCCUCUCAUCCCCGGUUGCUCCAAGUCCCGUCCAGCCUGGCCUGGAACACUUGCAGGGAUCCAGGGGCAGGCUCAGCUUCCCUGUGCAGUGUGCUCUAAUAUCUCUCCACUGGCAUCCUGAAAAAUGUUGUCAGCGUGUUUUGUUGGACGCCGAAUUGCCACGAGAGGAAAUACUUCAGAGGGGCUUCCCUCCAGAUAAGCCCUGAAUGUGCCAGGAGGUUUCAGCCGGGAGAAAGGAGCUGUGGAAGAAAAGCAGCCUAAAAAUAGCCAGCGGGGAUCAUCAGGUUUUCCAGCCAAGAAAAACCAGGAGGGAGAUGAGGGAAUCGGGUUCCAAUUCCUAAAGAUUUGGUGGGUGUAGGAAUGAUUUCUGUGUGUUUUCCAGUCCCUUUUGAUUCCUGGGAUGAUUUUAAAAUGAUGGCUAAAUUGGAGAUGUUGUUUUUGAGAGGAAAUGAUGCCAAAUAAAUGCAGAGUUUGGGGUCAGUUUUUUGGAUGAUUUGGGUCAGGUUUUGGGGUCAGUUUUGGGUCAUUGUUUGGGGUGAUUUGGGUCAGUUUUGGGUCAGGUUUUGGGGUCAGUUUUGGGUCAGCUUUUGGGGUGAUUUGGGUCGGUUUUGGGUCAAUUUUUGGGGAGCACUGGGUGUUACUGGGGGUUGUUGGGGAGCACUGGGUGUUUACUGGGGAGCACUGGG